Molecule: ribosomal RNA, 482 nt
Filed under: Enterococcus faecalis
Lineage: Bacteria; Bacillati; Bacillota; Bacilli; Lactobacillales; Enterococcaceae
Also listed under: 1 other name
Description: bacterial SSU rRNA
Rfam family: Bacterial small subunit ribosomal RNA
Source: RNAcentral
CAUUAUGAGAGUUUGAUCCUGGCUCAGGACGAACGCUGGCGGCGUGCCUAAUACAUGCAAGUCGAACGCUUUUUCUUUCACCGGAGCUUGCUCCAUCGAAAGAAAAAGAGUGGCGAACGGGUGAGUAACACGUGGGUAACCUGCCCAUCAGAAGGGGAUAACACUUGGAAACAGGUGCUAAUACCGUAUAACACUAUUUUCCGCAUGGAAGAAAGUUGAAAGGCGCUUUUGCGUCACUGAUGGAUGGACCCGCGGUGCAUUAGCUAGUUGGUGAGGUAACGGCUCACCAAGGCCACGAUGCAUAGCCGACCUGAGAGGGUGAUCGGCCACACUGGGACUGAGACACGGCCCAGACUCCUACGGGAGGCAGCAGUAGGGAAUCUUCGGCAAUGGACGAAAGUCUGACCGAGCAACGCCGCGUGAGUGAAGAAGGUUUUCGGAUCGUAAAACUCUGUUGUUAGAGAAGAACAAGGAUGAGAGUA